ACUAACAUGGGAAGCUUUGGCAUUGUCUUCCUUUCUAAUCUCCACUCUUAAAUGUUGUAAUAAAAGAUCCAGUUCCACCUCCUACCCUGGUCUUCAUCUGUCCCAUUCCCUUAAAAUAUCCUAGAAACCAGACCCAUGUUCCAAACAGAGAACCUGUUCAGGCACUGCCUUCCUCUGCCAGCCGGAAACGUCUGGACAAGAAACGUUCAGUGCCUGUAGCCACUGUAGAACGAGAAGAAAAGAGGUUCAGAACUCUGCCUUUAGCGCCAAGCCCCCUACAAGGCCUGACCAAUCAGGAUUUACAAGAGGGAGAAGAUUGGGAGCAAGACGAUGAGGACAUGGACCCCAGAUUAGAACACAGUUCCUCAGUUCAAGAAGGUGAGUUAAUGAGAGGAGGGUAAAAAUGCCAGUGGAAAAGACGUAUAAUCACUUGUGUUUUCUUGCUUCCUUCCUAGAUUCUGAAUCCCCAAAUCCUGAAGAUGUACCAGACUACAUCCUGCAAUACAGGGCCAUCCACAGUGCAGAACAGCAACAUGCCUAUGAGCAGGACUUUGAGACAGAUUAUGCUGAAUACCGCAUCCUGCAUGCCCGUGUUGGGACUGCAAGCCAAAGGUUCAUAGAGCUGGGAGCAGAGAUUAAAAGAGUUCAGCAAGGAACUCCGGAAUACAAGGUGCUGGAAGACAAGAUAGUCCAGGAAUAUAAAAAGUUCAGGAAGGUAAGACAAGGUCUGAGAACGGAAGCAAGGUAGAAUGAGAAUUUUAACUUUUUGACAUGGAUGCUUUUUCUCUGCAGCGGUACCCAGGUUACAGAGAAGAAAAGCGUCGCUGUGAGUACCUUCACCAGAAAUUGUCCCACAUUAAAGGUCUCAUCCUGGAGUUUGAGGAAAAGAACAGAGGCAGCUGAAGUUAUCAAGGGAGUUCUUGAGCCUCUGCUUAGUGAAACACAAAGGAACAAAGCAGCUAUAAACUAAAUAGAAUGCAACUAUCUGCUUUUCUUCUGCUGACCACUGGAGUCCAUGGUGGCAAGUAGAGAGUUGCUCUAGGUUCUUGAGGUUUGGUUUUCAUUGUUAAUUUUUAGGGUAUGGGCACUGUACAAAGACUCCAUAGCUGUGCCUAGGA
RNAcentral lists this small RNA (1118 nucleotides) under Pongo abelii (Sumatran orangutan). RNAcentral describes it as "processed transcript". The record is from RNAcentral. Lineage: Eukaryota; Metazoa; Chordata; Mammalia; Primates; Hominidae.